GUGUGUCUGUGUGUGUCUGUGUGUGUCUGUGUGUAUGUGAGUGUGUGUGUGCCCUGUGUGUGUCUGUGUAUGUGUGUGUGCACCUGUGUGUGUGACUUUGUGUGUGGUGUGUGAGUGUGUGUGGUGUGUGAGUGUGUGUGUGCCUGUGUGUGACUGUGUGUGUGCCUGUGUGUGUCUGUGUGUGUGACUGUGUGUGUAUGUGACUGUGUGUGAGUGUGUGUGCCUGUGUGUGUGACUGUGUGUGUGUGCCUGUGUAUGUGACUCUGUGUGUGUGUGUGUGUGUGUGUGUGUGUGUGUGUGUGUUCCUGUGCCUGUGUAUGCAGGUGCACGUGCACUUGUGUGCACUGGGUGUGGAGGCAGAGGGACUUAUUUCAAGGUGUCAUUCUACCCGCUCAGUUUUGCUUUUGGCUUACAUUUCCUUUUUUGUUGUUGCUGUUGUUGUUGUUGUUGUUGUUAUUGAGGUGGACGGACUCUCUCACUGGCCUGGAACUCAACAAGUAGGCCAAACUGGAAGGCCAGAAAAGCUAAUGACCCACCUCUCCUUGCCCACUCGGAGACUGUGUGUGCUACUAUCUUACCUAGGGUUUGAUAUGCUGUGAAGAGACACCAUGACCAAGGCAGCUCUUCUAAAGGACAUUUAAUUGGGGCUGGCUUACAGGUUCAGAGGUUCAGUCCAUUAUCAUCAAGAUGGGAACAUGGCAGCAUCCAGGCAGACGUGGUGCAGGAGGAGCUGAGAAUUCUACAUCGUGUUCUGGAGGCAAACAGGAGAAGACUGACUCCCAUGUAGCUAGGAGGAGGGUCUCAUAGCCCACCCCAUCGUGACACACUUUCUCCAACAAGGCCAUACCUCCUAAGAGUGCCACUCUCUGGGCCAAGCACAUACAAACCACCACAGCCACCAUGCAUUGCUUUUUCUACCUGGGUUUUAGAAACGAACUCUGUCUUCCUCCCAGAAAAGUAAGCGUUUUCCUGAGCCAUCUUCUUAGUCCUGGAGACCAUAUCCAUGAAACGUGUUCCCUCCCUGGAUGUGACUUGACUCUCCCCUGCGUGGGGAAAGGAGAACUAGAACUGGGCGUUGAGACCCUAGGUUCUAAGUCAGCCUCUCCCAAGGGUUGAAGUAGAGGCAGAAUUUCCUGGCUUCAGUAAAGAAGAUGUCUCCUCUUCACUGAAGUGCUUUGUUUCCAUAAAGAGCAUCAGAGCUUUAGAGUUGAGGAGAGAAUCUGGAUGACCACAUCUGGGGCCUGAGGUUUCACUGAACUUGAAAUGAAAAUAAUCUUUGCAAAAUAUUUUCAAAAAUAUUUAAUAAACACAGGCUGAAGGCUGCCGCCUAGCUAGACACAUUUUUUUUUUAAAUUAAGGUUUGAAUUCAGAUUAGUAACCUGUUAGCGACCGGCCAAGCCACACAGAGCCAGAGCCCAGCUCUGCCCUUGUCUUCUGCUAAAACAAUGUGGGCUUCUGUUGUCUUCUCCCUAUUCCCGUCUCCAUCCACAGAGUGGGAACGAGGGCCCAUCAUCGGGCAGUCGUGAACGCCAGGUCAGCUGAGUGGAGGAGACAUUGUGAUACACCCCAGAGACAUGCAAGUGUCCUUCCUUCCUUCCUUCCCUACUCCUGUGAGGCAGAUACUUCACCAAGACGAAACCUUCCUCCUGCUCUUGAAUUAGUGCCUUGGGCAUUGGUGAAUGUGAAGCAGAGGGGAAAAAUUGAAAAUCGCUUGUCCAAAGAUGUCUUUCUCUUGCUGGCCUCACUCACUAAUUCUAGAGAGGAAGUGUUUACUGGAGGAUAAGGUACCACACUGAGGAAGAGAGUCCGGCUGCUCCUGCAUGCACCCCGCAGGUCACAGCUCCAGGUCGCAGUCAUCCGUGAGGAAAAUCAGGGCAGGACGUCAAAGCGGGAACUCUGUCAGCUGUUUCCUCUCUUUCUAGACAUUCCAGCCUGCUCGUCUUGUGAUCACUUAGGGGCCAGCAACGCCAUUCCAUGAGCCAUUGGCUUGUUGAUGAAUCAAGCCAGGUUAAGCUUGUGAUGUAGCAAUUGAUGACCUUGAAAUUCUUCUUUGGCUUCCCCAGCUGGGGCCACAGCUGUGCAUCACCACACCUGGUAUACGCAGCCCUGGGAACAGAACUCAAGGCGUUGUGCAUGCUAGGCAAGCAUUCUGCCGCCGAACUAUAUACCCAGCUGCCCACGGAACACCUACAGGAGUUCAUGCCAAGGGGCAGUUCCAGGAAAGGACACUGCUGCUACAG
This 2240-nucleotide long non-coding RNA is filed under the name Rattus norvegicus (Norway rat). Its description in RNAcentral is "partial HafT1 cufflinks00006229". Lineage: Eukaryota; Metazoa; Chordata; Mammalia; Rodentia; Muridae. The record is from RNAcentral.